RNAcentral lists this ribosomal RNA (272 nucleotides) under uncultured Synechococcus sp. RNAcentral describes it as "partial 16S ribosomal RNA". It matches the Rfam family "Bacterial small subunit ribosomal RNA", at positions 432 to 718 of the family's 1533-position model. Lineage: Bacteria; Bacillati; Cyanobacteriota; Cyanophyceae; Synechococcales; Synechococcaceae. The record is from RNAcentral.
UCUUUUCUUCAGGAAGAAGAUCUGACGGUACUUGAGGAAUAAGCCACGGCUAAUUCCGUGCCAGCAGCCGCGGUAAUACGGGAGUGGCAAGCGUUAUCCGGAAUUAUUGGGCGUAAAGCGUCCGCAGGCGGCCCUUCAAGUCUGCUGUUAAAAACUGGAGCUUAACUCCCUAAUGGCAGUGGAACCUGUUGGGCUUGAGUAUGGUAGGGGCAGAGGGAAUUCCCGGUGAAGCGGUGAAAUGCGUAAAUAUUUGGAAGAACACCCGUGGGCGA